ACAUCUACUUUAUGUCACACUUGAACUCUACAUAUUACACUUGUGUUUCCUCUGUAAACAAGUCAUUAUGAUUCCACGGAGAAAGCCGGGGACUUACACGUCAGUUUCUUCUGUCAAAGUCUCAGGGUCUGAGGGACAGUCAGGGGACACCAGUAAUACAAGACCCACCUCAACCUCUGGGGGACAAGCUGGAAGCAGUAGCCACCAAAGGCCCCCUACUGGGGGACCAACAGGAGGUAUCAGUCACCCAAGAAUCCAUUUAAACAGUGGGGGCCAUGCAGGAGGGGCCAGUCAUCCAAAGUCCCCUACAAGUCCUACUGGCAAAUCAGCAAACGGAACAGAGGGGACUACAGGGAAGUCAUCUGAAAACGGGAAAGCCAGGCAACCUGUGAAGAAAUCGGACUCAUUUAUUAACUCAAGAAAUGUGUUCCAGAGUAUGUCAAAUGGCAAGCAAACAAGACCAGUACAAAAAUCUGAGUCUUUUUCAGAGUCAAGAAGAAAACUUUCAUCUUCCUCCUCUGCCAAAGGGGAUUCCACUGGACAAAGAAGGUCCAGCUCGUCCAAAACUGAAACAGGGCCCACCUCUACCAGAGUAGAAAGCCAUGGAUCAAAGAGACCACCAAACUCCACUUCUAGUUCAAGAUCAGGCAGUAUGUCAGAUUCCAGAUCCUCAAGUCUGACAGAAUCCCCUUUUGUACCCAAACAAUCCAUGGAGCCAUCUGAUGUGGUGCCAGGAGCAAGGGAUCACAGCGUGACAGACACCACAACACGGAGUGGACCGAUACAGCACCACUCACACUCUUCUGUGUCUGGCUCUUCUCAGCACCAUCCACACUCAUCUGUGAGUGGCUCCACCCAGCACCACCCUCAUACUUCUGUGAGUGGCCCCACACAACAUGGGACACACUCUGUCCAUUCUCAUGCAGUAAAUGGGACUGUGUCUAGUGGUGUUCCUGAGGACAAAGUCAAAGGGGGUUCACCCAGCAAGUUUACAGCACCAGAGCAAUCAGGAUAUGUGGGCUUUGCCAAUCUCCCCAACCAGGUUCACAGAAAGUCGGUCAAAAAAGGGUUCGAGUUCACACUUAUGGUGGUGGGUGAGUCUGGACUGGGGAAGUCUACAUUGGUCAACAGCCUAUUCCUGACAGACCUGUAUCCAGAGAGACACAUACACUCAGCUGCUGAGAAGAUUUCGCAGACGGUGAAGAUUGAUGCCUCUACCGUGGAGAUAGAGGAGCGUGGAGUCAAACUGAGGCUGACCGUGGUGGACACGCCGGGCUUUGGGGAUUCCCUCAACUCCCAGGACUGUUUUAAGCCCAUCAUCCAGUACAUAGACAGCCAGUUUGAACGGUACCUGGAGGACGAGAGUGGAUUAAACAGAAGACAUAUCGUGGAUAAUCGUGUUCAUUGCUGUUUCUACUUCAUAAACCCAUCAGGCCAUGGCUUACGUCCCCUCGACAUCUCAUUUAUGAAAGCAGUUCAUCACAAAGUAAACAUAGUCCCAGUCAUAGCCAAGUCUGACACGCUGACGCAGCAGGAAUGUAAACAACUAAAGAGGAAGGUGAUGACUCAGAUCGCUGAGAAUGGUAUUAACCUUUACGCACUCCCAGACUGCGAUGAGGACGAGGAUGAAGAAUAUCGAGAACAGUGUCGACUUCUUAAGGAGGCUGUGCCUUUUGCUGUCAUUGGUGCUAAUACUGUGAUAGAGGUCAAAGGUAAAAAGGUCAGAGGUCGUAUGUAUCCAUGGGGAGUGGUGGAGGUUGAAAAUCCAGAUCAUUGUGAUUUCAUCAAACUUAGAACCAUGCUCAUCACUCACAUGCAAGACUUACAAGAGGUCACCCAGGAGGUUCAUUAUGAAAACUUCCGAGCGGAGAAACUGGCAGGUGGUGGAUCUGUCCCCAAGAAAACAAGAAGACCUCGCAAUGAAGAAACUUACAAUGAAAUGACAGACAAACGUAGACCUGAGGGCCAGCAAGCUGAUUUGUCAGAUCGCGAGAAACAACUCCUAGAAAAGGAACAAGAGCUGAGGAGAAUGCAGGAAAUGAUUGCCAAGAUGCAGGCAGAGAUGAACCAGCGCAACACACCACAGAAAAUGCAGCAGAACGGAGAAGUCAAAUCACAGAAUGUGUAAAGUUUGGCAGGUAAAUCUAGAACUAAGAAUGUGUAAAUCUAGGACACAAAUGUGUAAAUCUAGCACACAAAAUGUGUAAAGUUUGGAAGGUAAAUCUAGAACACAAAAUGUGUAAAUUGUGGCAGGUAAAUCUAGAACACAGAAUGUGUAAAGUUUGGCAGGUGACCAUUUGAUAGGACCAGUAUUUGAAGAUGAGAUUGUCGUAUUUAUACUUAGCGACCUCAGACAAUCCACAGUAACAAACGCAAUGUUAUCACAUCAUUACACCAAAUCAUCAAAUUAAGUGUUCAGUUUGUGAUGUCUAACAUCCAUGCUACUUACAUUUUGUUAAUAAUUUGCAAAUGCUCUGCCCUGUGUGUUUAAAAGUAAGUGGACACAUGGUUUUAUAAUGUAAAAUCUUUUUUUUUUUUCUUUUCAAAUAUUGUUAAAAAAUAUUGUAUGGGAUGAUUUUUGUAUUCUGUGUGAAAUAGAAUAAAAAGAAACCUUAUUUUUGAAAGUAAAAGACUUUAGAUUGAGUGCUUACAUAGGCUAAGUAUUCUAGAUUUGAGCAUUUACAAACAUCCAAAGUCAUUGUUUUGUGUACGUGAGUAUAUGUUUUUUUAAUAAUAAAUUGUAUAAAUUUGCUGUACCAAAAUAUUGAAAUCAAAACCAGAAAGCUCUGCAGAAAGGGAGCUAACUUUUCUCUAGCCUGGUCUAGUCAUCUAACCACAAUCAGCAGUGACUUGUUAGAGUUAUCUACCUUUGUUGAUAAUGGUUGAUAAGUUCAUCUUUCCUGUAAAUUGAUAAUUUGAAUGUCUAACUUAGCUGGAUUAUUUUGUUGUAGUUCUUUUUUUUAAAUGUGUCCUUUGAUUUUCAUUCUUGGUGACAUAUAACUUUCAUGAGGACAUUUUUAAUAGCUGAUCUCCCAUGUAAAAUUCCCUCCCCCAUCCCCCAUGUAAGAUCUAAGAUGUAUUGAAUACACUAUAUGUUAGGAGUAAUUUUUUUUUUUUUUAUUGUUAUAUCAUUUGUGUAGUCUACAUAUAUGAUAUUACUUGUUUAUUUCUGUAGAUUUGAAAAAUUUACUGUAAACUUUAUGAACAAAAAAUAGAUCUGAAAUUGAAUUAAAGAGCAUAAUGGCCACACAACAUAAAGGAAAACUUUGUUUGCCAUCUUUUGAUUCAGUAAGGAGGAAAAAACAAACAUACACUGAGUUUAUAGAAUUAGUAUACAUUUUAUAAACAUCCUCCUUAUAUUGACUUUUUAGUGUCGUGUAUGAAUUGAAUCAAGGUAGAUUUUCCAUGAGAUACUGAUAUGAAGACAUCUUUAUUAUUCUGCUUUAAAGCUUAUUCUGCUGAAUUUUAUCCAACUUUGCAAUAAUUUUGUAAUAUUUUUAUUUAAUUUGUACAUGAAUAAAUUUAAUGUAUAUAAA
Saccostrea cuccullata (small rock oyster) is the source of this 3536-nucleotide RNA transcript. It is a transcript of the gene named septin-2-like, with no coding region annotated. The record is from RefSeq and is a predicted model, not a curated record. Lineage: Eukaryota; Metazoa; Mollusca; Bivalvia; Ostreida; Ostreidae. The transcript has 14 exons.